GAUGAACGCUAGCUACAGGUUUAACACAUGCAAGUCGAGGGGAAACGACAUCGAAAGCUUGCUUUUGGUGGGCGUCGACCGGCGCACGGGUGAGUAACGCGUAUCCAACCUGCCCACCACUUGGGGAUAACCUUGCGAAAGUAAGACUAAUACCCAAUGAUAUCCCACGAAGGCAUCCGAAUGGGAUUAAAGAUUUAUCGGUGAUGGAUGGGGAUGCGUCUGAUUAGCUUGUUGGCGGGGUAACGGCCCACCAAGGCGACGAUCAGUAGGGGUUCUGAGAGGAAGGUCCCCACAUUGGAACUGAGACACGGUCCAAACUCCUAACGGGAGGCAGGCAGUGAGGAAUAUUGGUCAAUGGGGCGAGAGCCUGAACCAGCCAAGUAGCGUGCAGGAAGACGGCCCUAUGGGUUGUAAACUGCUUUAUAGGGGAAUAAAGUGAGCACGUGUGGUUUUUUGUCGA
Molecule: ribosomal RNA, 460 nt
Filed under: uncultured bacterium
Lineage: Bacteria
Description: bacterial SSU rRNA
Rfam family: Bacterial small subunit ribosomal RNA
Source: RNAcentral